This 494-nucleotide ribosomal RNA is filed under the name uncultured bacterium. RNAcentral's name for it is "partial 16S ribosomal RNA". It matches the Rfam family "Bacterial small subunit ribosomal RNA", at positions 28 to 507 of the family's 1533-position model. The record is from RNAcentral.
GACGAGCGCUGGCGGCGUGCCUAAUACAUGCAAGUAGAACGCUGACGGAGGAGCUUGCUUCUCUGGAUGAGUUGCGAACGGGUGAGUAACGCGUAGGUAACCUGCCUGGUAGCGGGGGAUAACUAUUGGAAACGAUAGCUAAUCCCGCAUAAUAUUGACUAUUGCAUGAUAGUCAGUUGAAAGGUGCAACUGCACCACUACCAGAUGGACCUGCGUUGUAUUAGCUAGUUGGUGGGUAACGGCUCACCAAGGCGACGAUACAUAGCCGACCUGAGAGGGCGGACGAGCAACCUGGGACCGGGACACGGGCCAGGAUCCUUCGGGGAGCAACAAGAGGGAAUCUUCGGAAAUGGAGGGAAGUCUGACCGAACAACGCCGCGGGAGGUAAGAAGGUUUUCGGGUCGGAAAGGUCUGUUGUAAGAGAAGAACGAGUGUGAGACUGGAAAGCUCACGCUGUGACGGUACCUUACCAGAAAGGGACGGCUAACUACGUG